Molecule: ribosomal RNA, 467 nt
Filed under: uncultured bacterium
Lineage: Bacteria
Description: partial 16S ribosomal RNA
Rfam family: Bacterial small subunit ribosomal RNA
Source: RNAcentral
ACGCACGCUGGCGGCGUGCUUCACCCCUGCAAGUCGCACGGAAAGGCCCUGCUUUUGUGGGGUGCUCGAGUGGCGAACGGGUGAGUAACACGUGAGUAACCUGCCCUUGACUUUGGGAUAACUUCAUGAAACUGGGGCUAAUACCGGAUAGGAGCUCCUGCUGCAUGGUGGGGGUUGGAAAGUUUCGGCGGUUGGGGAUGGACUCGCGGCUUAUCAGCUUGUUGGUGGGGUAGUGGCUUACCAAGGCUUUGACGGGUAGCCGGCCUGAGAGGGUGACCGGCCACAUUGGGACUGAGAUACGGCCCAGACUCCUACGGGAGGCAGCAGUGGGGAAAAUUGCACAAUGGGCGGAAGCCUGAUGCAGCAACGCCGCGUGCGGGAUGACGGCCUUCGGGUUGUAAACCGCUUUCGCCUGUGACGAAGCGUGAGUGACGGUAAUGGGUAAAGAAGCACCGGCUAACUACGUG